GCUACUUCUUUCCUUCGUUAUUUCUGUGAGGAAAAGCACAUUGUACAGAUGCGAGGCUUAGAUUAUGAAACAACAGAGCAAGAUGUCAUUAACUUUUUCAAGCCUUUAGGUAUUGAGCCAAAGAGUGUGAGUAUGAAGUAUGAUGGUAGUGGUCGUGUUGCGGGUGUCAGUGAAGUCGAAUUCGCUACACAUGCUGAUGCAGUCAUUGCUAUGAGGAAAAGAAAUGCUUUCAUAGGUCAUAGAUUCAUACGCUUAACUCUCAAAUCUUCUGAACCUGAGAAUAGAAAUGAAAACAGUGGCAUUUCCAGCAGUAGUCAAAUCUCAUCACAAUCUAAAGUUGACAUAAAUAUGCUCGGUUCUGCACCCAGUAGUCAUGUUGUUCAAAUGAAAAAUGCCCCCAAGAGAAUGACAGAUCAAGCAAUUUAUGAAUUCUUUUGGCCUGUUGGAAUACAGCCUGUCUCUGUCAAACCCAUCUAUAAUGAAAGCGGUAUCCGAACUGGGGAAUUUGACGUGGUGUUCCAGACACAUGAAGAUGCAGUUAGAGCUUUGGUUAAAAAUCAUGCUUAUCUAGGAAAAAAAUUUGUGGAAAUUUCUUUAAAAGUUCCAUAAUUUACCCAGAGACAGUCUUGGUGAAAUAUAAACAAAAGCUGAAUGAUCACAAUGAAGACAAUGCAUGAAGGCAAAUAAAGAAAAUGGAGACAUAAUUUCAUAAUUUACCUAGCUGAAGCAGUUUUUCUUCCAUUUCAAUUUUUGUUUCUCAUGUAAUAAAAUAAUUAAAUUCUAGAAAUAAGUAAUUUUAUUUGCGAAAUUUGCAUUAAAGAUUAUCAGAGUUUUUCGUAUAACUGUCAGAUUUAUUCAUUUGUGAAAAUUGAUUUGUUCAUUCAAAAUAUCAGACUUUUUUAUUCAUGAAAAACACAAAAUUAUGUGAAUAAAUAUUUUUCUGUAUGAUGUAAAAAAUAAAGCUGUAUAUUCAGCUUUUGGAAAAGU
RNAcentral lists this unclassified non-coding RNA (987 nucleotides) under Stegodyphus dumicola. RNAcentral describes it as "g-rich sequence factor 1-like, transcript variant X2". Lineage: Eukaryota; Metazoa; Arthropoda; Arachnida; Araneae; Eresidae. The record is from RNAcentral.